RNAcentral lists this ribosomal RNA (253 nucleotides) under uncultured bacterium. RNAcentral's name for it is "partial 16S ribosomal RNA". It matches the Rfam family "Bacterial small subunit ribosomal RNA", at positions 524 to 776 of the family's 1533-position model. The record is from RNAcentral.
UACGUAGGAUCCGAGCGUUGUCCGGAUUUACUGGGUGUAAAGGGUGCGCAGGCGGACUGGCAAGUCAGAGGUGAUAUCUCGUCGCUCAACGACGAAACUGCCUUUGAUGCUAUCAGUCUUGAAUCCGGUAGAGAUCUGUGGAAUUCCGAGUGUAGCAGUGAAAUGUGUAGAUAUUCGGAAGAACACCAGUGGCGAAGGCAGCAGAUUGGGCCGGUAUUGACGCUCAGGCACGAAAGCAUGGGGAUCAAACAGG